Long non-coding RNA from Haliotis rufescens (red abalone), 287 nucleotides. RefSeq lists it as uncharacterized. Lineage: Eukaryota; Metazoa; Mollusca; Gastropoda; Lepetellida; Haliotidae. The record is from RefSeq and is a predicted model, not a curated record. The transcript is spliced from 3 exons.
CACCUCCCCUCCCUGGGGUGUGGCGGGGGCAGUCUGGAUGGUCUUGCUCUCAUCUGGACUCCUCAGAAUGUUAACAAUCGCCUCCACUUUAAGGGCUGACGUUCUCCCUGUAAGAAAAUGUCCAAGACAGACGACCACAUAACCUGCUAUUACAACCAUCAGCUUGAACUGAGAGGUACAACACCCUGGAACCAAGCAUAUGCUGUGAAUGAAGAGAGGCUGAAAAUCCCUGUAUCUGAAAGAGAUCUCAGCCUUGUUGCAAGUCACAUUGGGAUCGGGUUUGAGUG